UUUGACCCGCGUGUAUGGUGAACACGCGCUUCUUAGCCGUGUGAUGAUCCACGUCAAUUAAUGAAUCACCAUCAGACGGCUCACACUUUUUCUAUUUUUCAUUUUUCUGAUUUUAAUUUCUUUUAUUUCUUUUAAUUCCAUUUUAUUUCUAAAAAUCAUAUCUCACUCAUUAUUGGUCCAAAAAAUGUGAGACCAAUUGCAUUAUUUCUCUUUUAAUUUCUAAUUUCUAAAAAUAAUUUUUUAUAUUUUU
Molecule: long non-coding RNA, 250 nt
Filed under: Lathyrus oleraceus (garden pea)
Lineage: Eukaryota; Viridiplantae; Streptophyta; Magnoliopsida; Fabales; Fabaceae
Description: Pisum sativum (pea) long non-coding RNA (PSAT_LNC010070)
Source: RNAcentral